UUUUUUUUUUUUUCUUUUUCACAGCAUAGAGCAGAGACAAAGCACAUGCCUAAGUCUCAGAGAUGGAAUGGCUUUGGAGCCGAUUCCCAAAUGGGAACCUCAGCAUAUUAUUAUAACUUGCUGUGACUCAGUUUCCUAGUCUACAGGAAAAAAAAAAAAAAAAAAGAAUGGGUGACAUUGUUAUUUCACAGCGUUGAUGUAUGAAAUGGGGAAAUCCAAUCAAGUGUUGAGAAUGGGGCUUGACACUUAACAAGUACUCAAGGACGAUUAGCUUUCAUCCUUGGAGACUCUUACUGCCAGAAACUAAUAGUCCCAGAUUGCAUUCUGUACUAUUUAUUCUUUUAUAUAUACUAUUCCUAACAAACCUAACAGGAGAAGUAACUUGGGGAGCAUUGAAAAGACUCCAGCCCAAAAAGUGACCCCCUAGAAUAAGAGUCUAAUGCUUCUUUCUCUUCCCUCCCUCCUUGCUGGGUUUGACGUUACAGACAUUUCCAAGUGAGAUGAAGCUGCCGUGGAGGGUGUAUAAUAGAUAGCCAGUGUAAGGAAAAAGGAAUUUUCCACUGUACUCUCCUCACGUGGAAGUGUACCAGAGGAUUAAAUCAUGGCAUCAGGUGUGACAUGCUGCUUAAUGGUUCACACUUGGCAGCCUGAAGACUCUUCAAAGGUAAUUGUAUCUGAGAAGAGAGAAUGGCUUAUACCCCUUUCCUCCACUCUUUUCUUAAGGGAAACAACCUAAUUACAAUUUUAAAGGGACCUCAGAAUCUGUGUCCCCUUUCAAAGAUGGCAUUUGGUAUUGAGUCCCUGGGUAUUGCAGCAGGGAAAGAUCUUUCAGAUUCGGGCGCAAAGGGAAGGGCUCAUUCAGGGAAAGCUUUAAGGCCUCUAUCUGCACCCAUUUGGGCAAGGUUCUGGCAGUGCCCCUGGCUUUUUGCUUGCAUUUGUGUCUGAGUAUCAAUGGACUCGCACUGCUGUUAUUCUCACAUCUGUAUUCCUUUUAGAGCAACUCUCAGAGGCUUUACUUAGGCCCCUCAAUUCUGUGUCCUAAAACAUGAAAUGCGUUUUGAAAUGGACUCCUUUCUCUUAAAAGAGAUGAGUGUAGGAGAGGUUACAGUAGCUCUGAAUUUUAGACUUUUAUGACUCACUUACUCUCAGAAGUGGUCAAGCAUGUGAGAUGUUUGAUAUCUAGAAAAAAAAAUGCACAUACUGCCUUUAAAAAUGAAGCAUGAUUGAGGUCGAGCAAACCCACCCACCGACUGAAGCCAACAUCUGAAAUUGUCUUGAUGAAUUAGCAUUUGUUUUGUUCUCUAGGUGGCUAGGAAAAGGUUUAGCAACUAUUGGAAGUAAAGCAGAAGGAAUUGCUGCAACAAAUAAGAUGGGAUGGCACAGAAAUAUGCAAAGUUAGAGAUAUUCAUGGAUUUUUAGAUGUAGAAGAAACCUUAUUAUUAACCCAAUCUCAUGAUUUACAGAUGAAAAAUAAGUGAGAUACAAAGUUAAGUAACUUUUCCUAGAGUUCCCCCAUUUUGGCUCAGUGGGUUAAGGACCUGACUAGCGACAAUGAGGAUGCAGAUUUUCUCCCUGGCCUCACUGGGUAGAUUAAGGAUCUGGCAUUGCCACUGCAGCAUAGGUUGCAGGUACAGCCUGGAUCCUAUGUAGCUGUGGCUGUGGCAUAGGCCAGCAGCUGUAGCUCCGAUUCAACCCCUAACCUUAGGUGUGUCCCUAAAAGGGGAAAAACAAACAAACAAACAAACAAACAAAAAAGUUAUAUAACUUUACCAAAGUCAUCUUAUAUUCCAAAAUUUGACCUUUGACUUGGUAAUACUGAAGAACAAGCAUUAGAAUGAAGGUUUUUAAAAUUAUUAAAAAUAUUUUUGUACCUUUCACCCCAGAUUUAACUCUUAAGUGAAAGAUACCAAACCAGCAUGCAAAUAAGUAUAAACACACAACUGAGAUGAGUGCUUUUAUGUGAGGAGUGCAUGGUGUUUUAUGUUCUCAUGACAGAGGAAUCAAGUGAGAUCUGAAAAACCACACAGAAGUAGAAUUAACCAGGAGGAAGAAUUAAGGAAUGGAGGAGAGGUGCAUGGAACAUUCUAGAUAAAGAAAUCUCAUGGAAACCCUUGUUUUUUUCAGGGGUCAUUACACAGGCAUGAGAGACCAGACCAAGAUAGCAAAGGGGAAAUAUAGAAAAAUUAAAUAGCACCCAUUUUCCAUGGGCGAGGCACUUUUAUUUGUGUUUAUUUAUUCCUCUCAACAGCUCUGUGAUCUAACUCUUCUCUCCCCAAAUUACAGAUAAGGGGACUAAAGUUUUGUAUAGUUGAAAGGACUAUCAGUGGCUUCACAGGUAGUGAACAGAACUGGCAGACUGCUGAAUUUCAAAAUGCAUUGUGAUUCUGCUGGGAUCGGUGGGGAGUGGGGAAGAAAGUGAGCAAGUUGGGAAGAGAUGCUGAAGGAAUGAGCAAGUAAAAUGAGAUCAGUGCAUUGGGAAUGUGCCCGUGAAUCAGGACUCUGUCCCUCACUCUCUAGCCACCCAGCCUGUACCGUAAAUGAAUGUCUGGCUCAGGAGGAAGAUGGAAUGAGUUCUGUAGGUCCUCAGCCUUUAUCAUUCUCACAGGGUAUUCCCUUGAGAAAGGAUGGGGUGCAUUGGGCCAGGCAUGAAGGCAGUUAAAAACUUUGAAACGGAUAGUAAGAGCAAUUGCCAGGCUGGAAUAAUUCAUGACUUUGUGUCCCAUUUGGGGGGAAAAAAAAAAAAUUUUUUUUAAGGAUUCUUUUUUGUUUUUAAGUGGUGUGAGCAUUCCUUUUGUCUCAGUCUGCUGAAGUUGCUAUGACAAAAUAUCCCUAGGUGAACCUUAAAAAAGCUCAACUCUGAGACAGAGACUAGAUUGUGGUUACCAGGGUCUAAAGGGUGUGACGGAAACAGAGGAGAUGUUAGUCAAAGGGUACAAACUUGCAGUUAUAAGACAAAUAAGCUCUUGGGUGAUUGUGGUUGCUAAUACCACUAUGUUAUAUACUUGAGAAUACAUUUUCCAUGUUUUCAAUGUUCUC
RNAcentral lists this long non-coding RNA (3036 nucleotides) under Sus scrofa (pig). RNAcentral describes it as "lncRNA (ENSSSCG00000051924.1)". The record is from RNAcentral. Lineage: Eukaryota; Metazoa; Chordata; Mammalia; Artiodactyla; Suidae.